Apus apus (common swift) is the source of this 803-nucleotide RNA transcript. It is a transcript of the gene named EF-hand calcium binding domain 10, with no coding region annotated. The transcript has 5 exons. The record is from RefSeq and is a predicted model, not a curated record. Lineage: Eukaryota; Metazoa; Chordata; Aves; Apodiformes; Apodidae.
GGCCGCGGCGGGGCGGGGCCUGCCGGCAGGGCGGGAUGGCGGCGGGCGAGCAGCAGUGCCGCGAGUACCUGCAGCGCCACCGGCUCCCCGAGCUGCUCCACCGCCUCGCCACCCUGGUCAUCUACCAGCGGCCCGAAAGCCCCCGCGAGUUCCUGAUCCAGCUGCUGGAAAAGGUGAAGGCUGGAAGGCGAGCCGAGGGGGAGUACCCUGACCUGAUGGACGAGGAGAACCUGGUGGCCAUGUUCGGCCUGCUGGAUGUCGUGGGCCGAGGCCACGUCACGGCAGCGCAGUACAGGGAAGCUCUUAAAACUUUGGGACUGAGCACUGAAGAUCUGCAGCUUGAAGAUGAUGAGGUUAUCACACUGGAUGUAUUCAAGGAAGAAGUACAGUAACACAGCUUAUAGAUGACACAAGCUGAGUUACAACAUUUCCCAUGGUCAAGGAAGAGAAAGAUGCUGGAGAGCUGGGCUGAAUAACAGUUUGACCAGUGGUCUGCUAAAUAUAUUUAAAUUAGGCAUUUUGCUCAGUUCUUCUCCUGGUUUGUCAGCUGUAGAUGGCUGAUGUUAAGCAGUAGUCUCUUUUUCCCAUUUUCCCAGCAAUCUGCUGAAAAUGGCAAAUGGUAAGAACUUGCUUGUGUGUUACCUUUUGAGAAUCACUUAAUACAAUUUUAAGAAGCAGAAAUCUCUCUUACACAACUAAAGUAGUGUUUUGGACUUUCCUCCUUCCUUUUGUAGCUGGCUUACAGUAAGGAGUUGUUACUUUUUGGCUCAUUACCAGUGAAUAAAAUUAACUUCAAGAGGUGA